Molecule: unclassified non-coding RNA, 707 nt
Filed under: Hevea brasiliensis (rubber tree)
Lineage: Eukaryota; Viridiplantae; Streptophyta; Magnoliopsida; Malpighiales; Euphorbiaceae
Source: RNAcentral
UAAAAGGAGCUACAAGAACGGCUUCGUUUGGCACGACUUGGCCGAAAACGAUUUCAUCUAUCCAGCCCACGGCCAUGAGUACGUUCUCAAAGGAUCGGAGCUUCUUGAUCCUUCUAUAAACAUUAACAAACCUCUCCUCCUCGAAACUACGUCGUCUUCCAGAUCCCUGAAACCGCCAGAGAUUCACAAGUCAUCGUCCAGUGAGGAUUCGGAUUUUCCUGUGAUCACGCGGCGAAGAAAUCAAUCCUGGAGUUCCAUUGAUCUUAAUGAGUAUCAGGUUUAUAAAACUGAGCCAUUCUCUGAGUCGACUCUGAAACUCGCCGCUGACGCGUCAACUCAGACUGAUGACAAGAGGAGGAGAAGGCCAGAAAAGCAAGAAGAGGAAAUUGAAGAAUUGCAAGAAGAGAAAAGUCCAGAACCGGAGGCGAACAGAGAAGAAAUUGAGAUCUCACCUCCGCCGUCGGAUUCUAGCCCCGAGACAUUAGAGUCUUUGAUGAAGGCUAAUGGGCGAUUGAUAUUAAGCACCGGGAACAAAAAUGAGGAGAAUUUGAAUCGGACGGUGGACAACAGUGGGAGGAUGAAAGCGUCGUCUGUACUGAUGCAGCUGAUUUCUUGCGGUUCUAUCUCAUUUAGGGACUGCGGAGCCACAGCGGUGAAGGAGCAGGGUUUUUCGUUGAUCGGACACUAUAAAGGGAGGUUGCCACGUG